GGCUCUGUUUGUAUUUUUCCUUUAGGUGACGUCACCACGUCUGUGCGGUCACGCGACGCGACGACGUGACAGGUGGCGUGCCCCGCGUGUGGGCGGGACGGAGCGUGCGCAGUGCGGCGGGGCUCGCUCCCCGCGUCCCCUCCCCCUCCAUGCAGCGCUGAGGAGACGGGCGGCGGAGCGGAGCAGGGGAGGCCCGGGGCCUAGCGGAGCGGGCUGGAGCGGCGGCCCCGGCGCCAUGGAGGGGAUGGACGUGGACCUGGACGCCGAGCUGAUGCAGAAGUUCAGCUGCCUGGGCACCACCGACAAGGACGUGCUGAUCGGCGAGUUCCAGCGGCUGCUGGGCUUCCAGCUGAGCCCGGCCGGCUGCGCCUUCUUCCUGGACAUGACCAACUGGAACCUACAAGCAGCCAUUGGAGCCUACUAUGACUUUGAGAGUCCGAACAUCAAUGUGCCCUCCAUGUCCUUCGUUGAAGAUGUUACCAUAGGAGAAGGGGAGUCCAUCCCUCCUGAUACCCAGUUUACAAAAACAUGGAGAAUACAAAAUACAGGGACAGAGGCAUGGCCCCCAGGGGUUUGUCUUAAGUACGUCGGGGGAGACCAGUUUGGCCAUGUAAACAUGGUGAUGGUCAGAUCGCUAGAGCCCCAGGAGAUUGCAGAUGUCAGCGUUCAGAUGUGCAGCCCCAGCACAGCGGGAAUGUAUCAGGGACAGUGGCGCAUGUGCACUGCUACAGGACUCUAUUAUGGAGAUGUCAUCUGGGUGAUCCUCAGCGUGGAGGUUGGAGGACUUUUAGGAGUAACGCAGCAGCUGUCAUCCUUCGAAACGGAAUUCAACACACAACCACAUCGCAAGGUAGAAGGAAACUUUAACCCCUUCGCCUCUCCGCAGAAGAACAGGCAACCAGAUGAAAACAACCUAAAAGACCCUGGGGGUUCUGAGCUAGGCACAAUCAGCAAAAACACGUGGGGGCCUGCUCCUGACCAAAUUGAACAAGAUCAGAAUGGACUGUCACAAAACUCUGUAAAUCUCUCCCCCAGCAGUCACUCGAACAACUUGUCGGUAGUGACGUACAGUAAGGUAGGUGCCCUGGGAGAACAGGAGAAUGGGUAGGUGACAAGACCAUGGUGUGUAUUGUGAUAGUCCUUCGUUACAAACUGUGAAGCCCUCCCUUCUGCCUCCGCCUGACCUACUAAGGAAGGGUUUGAAUAUAAGACCGUCUAACUCUGCCAGCUCCUCACCUUAUAUUAAACAAAACAAAAUAAAACACCCCUUUCCUCCGAUAGAUUCUACUAGGUCCACAUUUUAAAAAACCUCCUUGAUGUUAACCUACUCUUGGCUGGGUGCUGUAACUGAUAGUGGUUGGAGCCCUCUCCAACCUCCAAUAUGUUUAAGAAAAAAAAGCCACAAUAUCUUCAGACUCAAAUAUAGGUGAUUUAAAAAAAAAAAUUACCUACACAUCUUGGGAUUCGUCCAAAGAAUUCUUUUGCUGUAAUAAAUGGGCAGGGGGAUGCCUUGUUCAACAUUUUGGUCUCAGGAGCCACUGUUCAGGAAUAGUCAGUCCUUGGACCAUUCCUGUUUGUGAUCUUUUCUUGUCUCUAUAAUCAUGUUUUAAAAUCUCCUUAAGCUUGCUUGAUGGAUGCUAUACAAAUAAGUUUGAGUGAUAUUUUAACUUUUUUUUAGAUGCUUGUGUGUACAAAUACGUGAAAAAUGAAUUACAGGAUUAUUUACACUUCAGAAUCCUAUUAUUGCAAGAGGCAUGUCUAGUUUACUUAAAUGAGUCAAAAGAACUCAGGAUAGUUUGGAGAAGCACUGACCAGGAACGGCCCAGGAAGUGAUGAGGAAGAGAGAGGGACUUGUAGUGUUAUCUGAUGCUGCCAUCAGUGUACACUGGGAGACUUUUGUGUUGCUUUGCAGCCGUGCAUCAAAAAGUUUGUCUUUUUUUUUUUUUUAAACUCAAGUGUACCUUUUAUUGAUCUAAAUUCAGCCACAAACAAAGGUGAAAUAAAGAUAGUUGUGUGAAAGUUUCUGUGUUUUGAUGGUUUAUAAAAUAUUAAUUCCCUGAGAUGAAAGAGGGAUUUUGAUUUAACUUUAAAAAUGCCUGCUUUUACAAUUAUCAUGCCGUUCUGAGUAAUCACUGUACCCUUUCCUUCUUCACAACCCCUAUUUUAGUUUCACAGGUGGAAUGUAUUUAGGGUCCCAGCUGGGCUCAUUUGACUUCUUAUAUCUCGCAAAGGUGGCUGCCCUAGUUUAGGUGCAUGGAUCAAAAUGCAGACUUUUGUGGGUGCUGAGCACUUCUCAGUGGGGCUAGGUUUCCAAAAGCGCUGAUCUCCAAUUUAGGUCCCUAAAUAUAGUGGUCAGAUAUUCAGUAUGGGAGCUGCAUUUUGUUUUAAAUCUGGCCCUUAGAUUUCAUUAUUCACUUCAUUUACCUAAAUAUCUGGACAAAGGUAUUUCAUCGCAGUGUUACUAACUUUUACCUCUUGGGGGAGACAGGAAAAAGAAUUGAAAACUAAAUUUGCAAAGCAGAACGUGAGCUUGUCACAUUUUGUUUUCAAGAUGUGUCCCAUUUUGCAAGCAAGAGUCAAAGUCUUUUCAGCUGAAAUGUUUCAAAAUUUUUUUGCAAAUGUACAGGAAAUAUCGGAUUUCUUUUUGCGUGUUUCUGGUGGGAAAAUUGUCUAUUUGUGAAAGUGUGAUGGAAAACAAAAUGAGUAGCAAAAUGAACGCUCACUAACUGAAAAUGUUCGCACCAUGUUUCUCAAAAUCAUGGCUUUCACACAGCUGUUAACUUUUAGUUUAAACCAAUUACUUCCAACAUUUUUUGGUGCUGUGACUCUUUUGAAUCACUGCUGCUAUUUGUUUUAUACUAGUUUCUAGAGUUCCCAGUAGAGAUCAAGGCACUAUUACACUAUAUUCUUGUGAAAACAUAUACAGUCCCUGCCCCAAAGAGCUUACCAUAUGAAUAGAUUAGCUAAAGGGUAGAAGUAAGGCAACAGAUGGAGAAUUGAGGCACAGAAUGCUUGAGUGGUCUAGAGAUCAUGGCAAAGGAGUGUGGCAGAGCCAGGGAUUUGACUCAGAUCUAAGUCCUGGUGUAUUAUCCUUUCUCCCUACUCAAACACUGGUUGACUUAAUGAAAAAAUCAAAGCCUUUCUAUGCGUCCACAGGUUGACUUUUAAAUAUCGUCUGCAUCAAAUUUAGUAGUUCCUUUCGCUGGAAACAUUGACGUGAAAUAAUAUAAAAGAUGCAAAAGACCUAUUAAGUCAGGUCAUUCUCUGCAGAUGUGGGAUACAUUCCUUAUCGGGGGUUUAUAUCCGAUGUUAAACCAGUACUUCGCUUGAUCUUAGCCAAAAGGGCAAGAUGCAACAGUGGGAACUAGUGAAUAAACUGCUUGGGGAGCGGGGAGAGUUUUCUUCUUUGAAUCAUUAAUAGCGGCAGGUGAGUUCAUAUAUAAAAGUACCCUUCACAGGUAAGUAUGAGCUAUAGUGAAGGGCCGUGUGUACGCUCAGGGUUCUGUUAUGGUAAUCAUAAGAGCAAAGAUUGUUAAUUCUUCUGGUCAAAUUUGCAGUUGCAAGAGAAACCCAUUUGGAAACCAUUCUGGAACUGUUAAUGACUGAGUCAUUUCACAGAUGUGAAUACAGUUUAUCAGGGUUAAAGUGCUGUAAAAGUAGGGUGGUUUUCUCACACUCUAAAGUGAACUGAAAUCUAGUUUUGAUUGAGACCCCAAAUCAUUAACAGAAUUGUGUAUAUUUAAAUUAGACACAGCUGAAAGCAAGAUUUGACCUCUUUUCUUUACAUUGGAAGAUCCAAGGACAGAGUUCUUUCUCUUGCAACAGUUUAUACAUUUACUAAUCUCUUUAGGGACUGUGUGCUUACCAGGGGAUGUGCUAUUAGGCUGUAUCCAUUUCUGACUGCUGUUAUUUCCAGGUAUUACAGGGAGCUGUGCUUUACUUACACUACUUUAGGUGUUAAUAUUGCUGUUUGGCGUGGACAACACUGAGAUCUUGGCAGCCGAAAGCUUUUCAGUUCAGUUUUUGAAUGCAUCUUUAUCAAAUGAGCUGCAGCAGUCCGCUCCUACGUUAUAGCACAAGUGGCCUUGUUUGCCAACACACAAAGAAGAUGUUGGUUGCAGGGCUCAUUUGAAAAUCAGGCCCUUACAGACUAAUCUGAAGUUGAGAUACUGCUCUUGCCUAAUGUUCCACUAACCAUUCUCCCCUGAUAGAUGCUGGACUCAGCAAUAGUUUUGAGUCACUGGAAGAUACUUUGCUUUAUGGGUGUCACGUGUUGCUCCUUGACACUGCAUAACCCAGGGAAUUACUCUUGCCUGGUUAAUUGUGGUUAAACUCCUAUCAGCACUAGAUCAUUAAAAACUAACUACAACACAGAAAGUAAGAUACAAUGGGGCUUUUGACUUCAGGUGUUUACAGCUUGACCCAGCCCAUCCUACCAGACUUAUGCCAAUAUAAUCAGGGCUUUUUGGUAUGAGUCAUAUAAAAACAUCUCAGUGCUUCACAGCCAAUUCCAGUACUUAUGGGUCACAGAGCAAGCUGGUUAUGGAGUUACAGCAAAAUUCUUAUUGUUGGAGACAAUAUUUCUUUCGCUGCUCUGGCCCAUUGUCCUGCUUGAAACGAAGUAGUAAAGCAGUCUUACACCUUGCUUGAAAAGGCAGGCAAUGGGGUUGGUGUUUAAUUAGGUCACUGGCUGUCUUUUUACAUCAUCCACACAAUGGGUAACAGCAGGGCUGUAUAAAGAAUGCCAGAAGAUCUACCUUCUGUCUCUGGGUAACUGAGCAUAAUGCAUUUUUUCUUAUUUUUCCUUGGCUUUGUUUCAUGUUCCUUUAAAUUUAAAAAAAAAAGGGGGGGGGGUUUAAUUGGUGCAGCUAUUUCAGUAAAUUGUGCACCUCUGAUUUAUAGAGCAGUCUCAACACUGAGUCUUUCUUUUGAUGUAUGAUAAAAUGCGUCAAAGUUGGCUUGAUUAGAGCAUGGGAAAUUGAGAACUAGUGUCCCUGUUAGUUUCAGACCUCCUGCUGCUAGAUCUGGCACCUUAAAUAACUUCAUUUCAGGGUUCAUGAGGAAAACACAGGCUAUUAAACGUUCCCCUUUUUUGGAGGCAGCUGGUUUCCAUUGAAGAAAAAUGUGUAUUCUAGAAAUGUCAAGUCUCAUAGUCUUGAGGGAAUUAAAUUGUAAGAGGAAAAGCUUCCUCAUAGCAGGUGGGAGGCAGAGGCAGUGGGGCGUGUUCAUAGAGGGAGAUAAAGGCCAUAUGUACAUUGGGAAUUUGCCCUGUUUUCAGACACUGGCCUAGCUUGUGCCACUGCAAUACCCUAGUAUAGACUAGGGAAAUGAUGAAUUGCACUGGUGCAGCUUUACCCUGGUUUCAAGCAGAGGGAAGCCACGUGGGCACAAAUGGGGCUUACGGUGGCUUAUCCUGUGUACACUAGAGGUUUGGACUUGGCAGUUUCACCAGUAACUGAAAUCCCCAGUAUAGAGAAGGCCAAAAAGUGGCCUUCAGCAGAAGAGCAUGCCGUCAUGUUAACUGACUAUUGUCAGGGCUAAAUGACGGGGUGGAGGUGAGUGGCUGGAAGCAUGUGUAAUGCUGCCCUGUGGGUUCAUCUGUGGGGGCUGAAUGGGAGACCAUUGGAUCUUAAAAGCAGGACCAUUCGCUUAAAGGCAGUAAGUAGCUGACUCAAACAUCUAUAUCUGAUCUAGCUGCUAGAGGGAGACAGAGGUGGAGUAUUAGCAUUGAUUACACAUGGAUGUGGAGUAGGUGGGCAGUUGAUGUGGGAUGAAGAAUGCAGGAGGUAAAUAAAUCCAAGCAGUGGGGUAGGGUGUAGAGGGUAGGUAUGCUUUUUGCAAGCUGGUGCUGAUCAGCUGGUUUAGUCUGUCUAUUGAAACUGAUUUUGUCUCCAACUUUCUUUCAGGGUUUCCACGGUCCUUAUCCCUUUGGACAGUCUUAAAAACAAACAAA
This is an RNA transcript of Chelonia mydas (Green sea turtle), 5953 nucleotides long. It is a transcript of the gene named inflammation and lipid regulator with UBA-like and NBR1-like domains, with no coding region annotated. The transcript is spliced from 5 exons. The record is from RefSeq and is a predicted model, not a curated record. Lineage: Eukaryota; Metazoa; Chordata; Testudines; Cheloniidae.